AUUUUGUUUUGGGAAGUGGCCCGAUUGGACUUGGAGCUACAGGUGAAAUAGCGAUCAUCUACAUGGAGGAAUUUCAAAUCCAGGCAAUAAAAUCUUCACCAUAUCCUUUGGGCCAAUGGUACUGGUAUGUAUAGAUGACAGUGAAAUAAAAUGCCGCAGUGAUGACUCGGAAAAGAUUCUGCAACAUUUGAAUGCUAUGGAAGAGAACAUAAUCGUAUUUACAAAGCAAGAACAAAAGGAAGAAAGCUCACCGGUGCUGGAUUUGAAACAGAAUGUAAACAGAGAAACGGGAGAGAUAGAGUGUACAGUACACUACAAGAAAACGCACACCAACAUAAACGUGAAAGAGAAAUCGAACCAUCCACACUACAUGAAGAAAGGCAUCAUCAGAAAGAGCUCGAGCAUUAUGUGAUGAAAAACAUUUGGAUGAUGAACUUCAAAAUAUCGAGGAUGUGUUUGUACAGUAGCAAAUGGAUAUGAUAGAACCAAGGUGAGACGGUACAUGCACGAAAAGAAAAAGAGUGAAAGGGAGGAAGUGAAAGAAUAUAGAGGAGUAGUCAGCAUUCCAUAUCUGAAAGGGUUGUCAGAAAAGUUUAAGAGCAUAACAGAGAAUCAUGGAAUUCGAACAACAUUUAGACCAGGAAGAAAGUUAAAAGAGUUGAAAGUACGAGUUCAACAUCCAUUAGGAAACAAACAAAAGGCGGUUGUCUAUAAGAUACCAUGCGGUUGUGAAAGAGCAGUGUUACAUAGGAGAGACAUAUCGACAAUUUGAAACAAGGAAGAAAGAACAUGAGAGCAAAGUACGAUUAACAAAACAGGACAUAAAGAAUGGAGAGUUAGAAUCAGCAGAACAAAGGAUGGGGAAGGAAGACGGUGGCUUGGCAAGACACAGUGUUAAGUGUAAAGGAGAGAUUGAGUGGGAAAAAGCUGAAAUUAUUGCGAUGGAGAAGGGAUUGAGGCAAAGAAAAGCAAGGGAAGGAAUUGAGUCAUUGAGAGAACAACAAAGUGGCAGAGAGACGUUGAACAAUUUUGAACAAUUAACAGAGAGGCAAACUGUUUUAAACAGUUAUUUCAAACAAGAUAUUACUAAGAUGUGCACGACAUCACGCGCGCGCAAAGAUCACAUAGGUUAAGGAGACAGUUUGUGCACGUCAUUGUUUAAAAUUAAAAGUUGUAGUUGGCCUGAUGACGAGCAGUCAAACUGCUCGAAACGUAGCAAAUUAAAUAAAAUAUUAACCUUCAGAAUCGG
Molecule: non-coding RNA, 1249 nt
Organism: Paramuricea clavata
Lineage: Eukaryota; Metazoa; Cnidaria; Anthozoa; Malacalcyonacea; Plexauridae
Source: the annotation of a GenBank genome assembly